Long non-coding RNA from Dalotia coriaria, 262 nucleotides. RefSeq lists it as uncharacterized. The transcript is spliced from 3 exons. The record is from RefSeq and is a predicted model, not a curated record. NCBI's taxonomy places the organism in Eukaryota, Metazoa, Arthropoda, Insecta, Coleoptera, Staphylinidae.
GAGUCCGAUAAGCUGUACACUGGUAAUGGAAGUGAACAGGACGUCAGACUGCGCGGAACCGUCAGAAAUCAAUUUUGCGUCUUCAGUGGAUCCAAAGGAAAAUGGAAAAUUCAGGAAUAUUACAACACUAGAAGUAAUUGAUAAAUGUUUAACUUCUUAACGCGAUCUCGAAAAUCUGGAAUCAAUUUCAACAUCUAUACAUUGUGUGAAAUUAAAUAAUUUUAAAUUCUUAUCUAAUAGAGAAUUUUCCAAACUUUCAUAA